UAAACUACGAUUAGAUACCCUAUUAUUUUAAACGUAAAUUGUAUAAGCUUGAGUAGUAAUAGUUAUGUUCUUGAAACUCAAAGAAUUUGGCGGUGUUUUAGUCUUUUCAGAGGAACCUGUCCCGUAAUCGAUAAUCCACGUUAAACCUUACUUAUUUUUGUUAACAGCUUGUAUACCGCCGUCGUCAGAAUGUCCUAAGAAGGUUUUAAUUUUCUUGAAUUUUUAUUAAAAAUGAUGUCAGGUCAAGGUGUAGCUUACGAAUAAGUGGAGAUGGGUUACAAUAAAUUUAUUUAAAACGGAUAAAAAUUUGAAACAAUUUUUUGAAGGUGGAUUUGAUGGUAAUUAACUUAAUUAAAUUAAUUUGAUUUUAGCUCUAAAACAUGCACACAUCGCCCGUCGCUCUUA
Molecule: ribosomal RNA, 405 nt
Filed under: Nemoura cinerea
Lineage: Eukaryota; Metazoa; Arthropoda; Insecta; Plecoptera; Nemouridae
Description: partial 12S ribosomal RNA
Rfam family: Microsporidia small subunit ribosomal RNA (bases 51-405)
Source: RNAcentral